AUACGGAGGGGGCUAGCGUUGUUCGGAAUUACUGGGCGUAAAGCGUACGUAGGCGGACUGAUCAGUUGGGGGUGAAAUCCCAGGGCUUAACCCUGGAACUGCCUUCAAUACUGUCAGUCUUGAGAUUGGAAGAGGUGAGUGGAAUUCCUAGUGUAGAGGUGAAAUCCAUAGAUAUUAGGAGGAACACCAGUGGCGAAGGCGGCUCACUGGUCCAAUACUGACGCUGAGGUACGAAAGCGUGGGGAGCAAACAGGAUUAGAAACCCUAGUAGUCC
Molecule: ribosomal RNA, 274 nt
Filed under: uncultured bacterium
Lineage: Bacteria
Description: partial 16S ribosomal RNA
Rfam family: Bacterial small subunit ribosomal RNA
Source: RNAcentral